UGGUGGGUUAUCUUGUCAGGUUUAUUCCGGUAACGAACGAGACCUCAGCCUGCUAAAUAGAGGGAUUUUCUUUCUCUUGGAAGAUCCGUUCUCUUCUUAGAGGGACUCCUGACAACUACUUAAGUCAGCGGAAGCUUGAGGCAAAAACAA
Molecule: ribosomal RNA, 150 nt
Filed under: uncultured eukaryote
Lineage: Eukaryota
Description: partial 18S ribosomal RNA
Rfam family: Eukaryotic small subunit ribosomal RNA
Source: RNAcentral